RNAcentral lists this ribosomal RNA (510 nucleotides) under uncultured bacterium. RNAcentral's name for it is "partial 16S ribosomal RNA". It matches the Rfam family "Bacterial small subunit ribosomal RNA", at positions 28 to 507 of the family's 1533-position model. The record is from RNAcentral.
GACGAACGCUGGCGGCGUGCUUAACACAUGCAAGUCGAACGAAGAGCGAUGGAAGCUUGCUUCUAUCAAUCUUAGUGGCGAACGGGUGAGUAACGCGUAAUCAACCUGCCCUUCAGAGGGGGACAACAGUUGGAAACGACUGCUAAUACUGCAUACGAUCUAAACUCGGCAUCGAUGAUAGAUGAAAGGUGGCCUCUACAUGUAAGCUAUCACUGAGGGAGGGGAUUGCGGCUGAUUAGCUAGUUGGAGGGGUAAAGGCCCACCAAGGCGAUGAUCAGUAGCCGGUCGGAGAGGAUGAACGGCCACAUUGGGACUGAGACACGGCCCAGACUCCUACGGGAGGCAGCAGUGGGGAAUCUUCCGCAAUGGACGAAAGUCUGACGGAACAACGCCGCGUGAGUGAUGACGGCCUUCGGGUUGUAAAGCUCUGUUAAUCGGGACGAAAGGCCUUCUUGCGAAUAGUGAGAAGGAUUAACGUUACCGGAAUAGAAAGCCACGGCUAACUACGUG